ACUCACUUAACUCAGCGGUUAGAGUUCCAAGCUUAUACCUUGGCGGUCGUAGGUUCAAAUCCUGCAGUGAGUA
This 73-nucleotide transfer RNA is filed under the name Caudoviricetes sp. RNAcentral describes it as "tRNA-Ile". It matches the Rfam family "tRNA". From Rfam's summary of the family: Transfer RNA (tRNA) molecules are approximately 80 nucleotides in length. Lineage: Duplodnaviria; Heunggongvirae; Uroviricota; Caudoviricetes. The record is from RNAcentral.